AGGAGAUGGCUGCUGUUUAACAGGCUCUUAACCAAUGGUGCUGGAGGAGAUGGCUGCUGUUUAACAGGCUCUUAACAAAUGGUGCUAUUGUGUGUUUGUGUUAUUUGUAAGUUGUUUUGUCCAUAAUGUUUCUGCCACCGUCUCUUAUGACUGAAAACAGCUUCUGGAUAUCAGGACAGUGAUUACUCACCUCGUACUGGACAAAGAUCUUUUUUAACGAGUUGGACUUGAAGGAUUUACUUCAGACACCUGACAAGGCCCUCAUCCUCGUCAUACGCAGGAGAAAGAGACAGAGAUAUCGGGGACGUAGGUCGGGAUGCCUUGUAAGGAAUUGAUGGCGAGUGGGUAAUCUGCCUCUACCUAUUAGCCUGUAAGGACAGACGCUGGGAGACGAGAAGCAAGUACAGGGAGUGAACAUUUAAUAAAUAACGGACAUGAAACAAAACACGGACAGCGUCUGGACGGGAAACAAAACGACAUUAAUGCUGACUCGGGAAAUAAACUGAGGAAGUGACAGAUAUCGGGGAGGUGAUUAGUAACGUGAUGGAGAGAAACUGAGGAAGUGACAGAUAUCGGGGAGGUGAUUAGUAACGUGAUGGAAAUAAACUGAGGAAGUGACAGAUAUCGGGGAGGUAAUUAGUAACGUGAUGGAGUCCAGGUGAGUCCAGGUGAGUCCAGGUGAGUCCAGGUGAGUCCGAUGACGCGUUGAUGUGUGUAACGAUGGUGGGAGGUGUGAGUAAUGAUCAGCAGCCUGGCGACCUCGAGCGACCUCGAGGGCGAGCAGACGUGACAUAGCCUGGAUAACAAAAUAGAUGAGCUACGAUCACAAAUAUCCUACCAACGGGAUAUUAACUGUAACAUCUUAUGUUUCACCGAGUCGUGGCUGACAUGGAUAACAUACAGCUGGGUGUACGCUGCAUCGGCAAGAUAGAACAGCUGCCUCCGGUAAGACAAGGGUUGACGGUCUGUGUCUAUUUGGAAACAACAGCUGGUGCACGAAAUCUAAUAUUAAGGAAGUCUCAAGGUUUUGCUCGCCUGAGGUAGAGUAUCUCAUGAUAAGCUGUAGACCACACUAUUUACCAAGAGAGUUUUAAUCUAUAUUUUUCAUAGCUGUCUACCACCACAAACUGAUGCUGCCAUUAAGACCGCAAACAAUGAGCUGUAUAAGGC
Molecule: long non-coding RNA, 1170 nt
Filed under: Salmo salar (Atlantic salmon)
Lineage: Eukaryota; Metazoa; Chordata; Actinopteri; Salmoniformes; Salmonidae
Description: lncRNA (ENSSSAG00000096749.1)
Source: RNAcentral